UAAUAGAAAACAAAAUUUGUAUUUAGUUUCGACCUAAAAUUAUGGUGGCACCACCUCUAUUAA
This 63-nucleotide transfer RNA is filed under the name Hypothenemus sp. BMNH 1039866. RNAcentral's name for it is "tRNA-Arg". The record is from RNAcentral. Lineage: Eukaryota; Metazoa; Arthropoda; Insecta; Coleoptera; Curculionidae. RNAcentral also lists the same sequence under 1 other name.